GGGAGUGGUUCGGUUCCCGGCGGUGAGGGCUUAGUUGAGGAGGUGAUGCCCUUAUGAUUGGGGCCCUCAAGGUCACACCCUCAGCUACUGAAGCACGACUCUCACUAAAGAGGCAUUUGAACACUGGUGCCUUGGGAGUAUUUCUGAAGUGAAUACCAUGGCUAAUUGGAUAAUUUGUGUCUUGUUUUUUCUUCAAAAAUACAUGGGCUGGACUUUCUGGUUGGACUGCAGAUCCCAUAAAGUUUGAUGGAUGUGGACUCUUACACGAUAUUUCCCAUUUCAUCCAUCAGAAAGAGGGAAGUGUGGACAGGAAAUGCCAUAUGGCAUCAUGCUUGAUAGCUUAGAACAUAAAUAAAUGCAUCCAAAUUGCCUGAGGUGCCAUUUUCAAAAGGUCCUGUUCAUCUGAAGCUUUGUCAGAUUCUAUUUUUUUUUCCCCAUAAUUUUGUUGUAAAUCCUCACUAACUGUCCUAGCGAAUCCUCUGUCAUUUUAACCUCAUGAUUCUUUAGGAAUAGUAAUAAAAAUCUUUUUCUAUUGGAUUUUACACCUAACUUUCCUAUCUGCUUCAUAUAAAUGUGGUGUGUAAUAGGACUCAACAAAGCUGCAAUAAGGAGCAAAAUGUGUGAUGAG
Colius striatus (speckled mousebird) is the source of this 628-nucleotide long non-coding RNA. RefSeq lists it as uncharacterized. The record is from RefSeq and is a predicted model, not a curated record. The transcript is spliced from 3 exons. NCBI's taxonomy places the organism in Eukaryota, Metazoa, Chordata, Aves, Coliiformes, Coliidae.